GGGACUGUUAGGUUUCUACAUGUUAAUAUAUUUUUUGAAGUACAGUAUAGGUUAAUUUUUAAUGAACCUGAAAAUACACAAUUAAGUGCAAAAAAUCAAAUAGUUCCUUUAUCUCGAGUUUUAGUACAAGUUUAGUGGGUAUAUUAUAUUAAUCCAUAUUAGAUUUCUAAACUUCUUGAGUAUCAGUUAAGAGAAUAAUUACAUAUGUUUUCUGAUAAUUAAUUUAUAUGUUGCUCCUAAAUACUUCUAAAAAAGUAAGCAAGUUGAAAUAUCUUGUUCAUUUAGGUAAAGUUGAGUAUUAAUAGUAAAGAUAUCUUUUUCUGUAUCUAGCAGUAUCUAGAUACCUUCUUAAAUGUUUUUAUUAACAUGGACGUGGGUUCAACUCCCACCAGUUCCA
This 397-nucleotide non-coding RNA is filed under the name Hommersandiophycus borowitzkae. Lineage: Eukaryota; Rhodophyta; Florideophyceae; Nemaliales; Liagoraceae. The record is from RNAcentral.